UACAGGGGGUGCAAGCGUUGUUCGGAAUUACUGGGCGUAAAGGGUUCGUAGGUGGCCACUUAAGUCAGACGUGAAAUCCCUCAGCUUAACUGGGGAACUGCGUCUGAUACUGAGUGGCUUGAGUGCAGGAGAGGAAUGCGGAAUUCCAGGUGUAGCGGUGAAAUGCGUAGAUAUCUGGAGGAACACCGGUGGCGAAGGCGGCAUUCUGGACUGUAACUGACACUGAGGAACGAAAGCCAGGGGAGCAAACGGG
This 253-nucleotide ribosomal RNA is filed under the name uncultured bacterium. Its description in RNAcentral is "partial 16S ribosomal RNA". It matches the Rfam family "Bacterial small subunit ribosomal RNA", at positions 524 to 776 of the family's 1533-position model. The record is from RNAcentral.